Triticum aestivum (bread wheat) is the source of this 281-nucleotide long non-coding RNA. RefSeq lists it as uncharacterized. The transcript has 3 exons. The record is from RefSeq and is a predicted model, not a curated record. Lineage: Eukaryota; Viridiplantae; Streptophyta; Magnoliopsida; Poales; Poaceae.
AGGAUAAUAGGGUGCUCGGUGUAAUAAAAUGUGCUUCGCUCAUCUGCUGCUGCUACAGAUGAGUAAGGAGUACUGGAGCUCACCAACUGCAUCUUGACCUGGAUCGAUGCCCUCUUCCUCUUCCAUGUUCAUAUCAUCUUGGAUUGCUGCCUGUUCUGAAGUUGGUGCAAUGGAGCUUGGAGCUCCACCUGCUGGACCUGGAGCCUGUUCAGGUACUGCCACGGUAUAAGUUCAUGCAACAUCAAGCACUAUAGUACUCCAACAUCAUGCAAUAGUACUCU